Long non-coding RNA from Ornithorhynchus anatinus (platypus), 719 nucleotides. RefSeq lists it as uncharacterized. The record is from RefSeq and is a predicted model, not a curated record. Lineage: Eukaryota; Metazoa; Chordata; Mammalia; Monotremata; Ornithorhynchidae. The transcript is spliced from 3 exons.
UCUGGCAAGGGAAGAGAUGCCAAAAUGACCCUUCUCUAACUCCUGGCUCUCCAGAGGCUCCAGGGAACCACGAGGAGAUUAACCCAAAGAUCUGAUCCCCGCAGAAAGACAGCCGAUUCAGUGACCGGCAAUAACCCGGGGCGGGCUGAAUGCUGAGAUAAGAGUAAUCAAAUUUCACGCCGCUUAGCUUCUCGAGAGAGAGUCGCUGCGGCUGCCGAUGGAAAUUUCCCACCCACCCCAGCUUUGGCACGGGGGCCAGCCUGCUGGUGAAUGAUCCAGGCUGUCGUGGGCACGGCCUGGACCCCACGUGACAAGAGCCAAGCACCCCGGCCUCCCCGGUGGGCCUCGUGAGAGUUGCCAGGACGGUUGGGGACAUUUCGUUGUGGACCAGACGGUCCCCCAGAUGUGGGUGUUGGACUGUUGCUUCUUCUGGAAUCACUCAGUCACGGGUUCUAGCGGGGUCUCGGAGGCAGGGAGUCCGAGAUGGAUGUCCGACGGUUGACGUAACGGGAGCUGACAGGUGCCGCCCGAUGCCGGCCGAGCAGGUGGAGAGUCAGAUAUGCUCUUAGGUCCGCAAUGGUGUUGGGGAUAACAACUCUGCUGUCCAAGUCCAGAAGACCAGCAUGACCUCGGGAGCUGAAUGGCAGGGCUUCAACCUGAGGCAAACCCAAGCCUGCCGAGGCUACCAGACCUGAUAAAAUAUAUAUUUUUUUAUGGUA